GAGAGUUUGAUCAUGGCUCAGAGCGAACGCUGGCGGCAGGCCUAACACAUGCAAGUCGAACGGACCCUUCGGGGUUAGUGGCGGACGGGUGAGUAACACGUGGGAACGUGCCUUUAGGUUCGGAAUAGCUCCUGGAAACGGGUGGUAAUGCCGAAUGUGCCCUUCGGGGGAAAGAUUUAUCGCCUUUAGAGCGGCCCGCGUCUGAUUAGCUAGUUGGUGAGGUAAUGGCUCACCAAGGCGACGAUCAGUAGCUGGUCUGAGAGGAUGACCAGCCACAUUGGGACUGAGACACGGCCCAAACUCCUACGGGAGGCAGCAGUGGGGAAUCUUGCGCAAUGGGCGAAAGCCUGACGCAGCCAUGCCGCGUGAACGAUGAAGGUCUUAGGAUUGUAAAAUCUUCACCGAGACGAUAAGCAGCU
This 419-nucleotide ribosomal RNA is filed under the name Brevundimonas sp. IIIA2-5. RNAcentral describes it as "bacterial SSU rRNA". It matches the Rfam family "Bacterial small subunit ribosomal RNA", at positions 7 to 454 of the family's 1533-position model. Lineage: Bacteria; Pseudomonadati; Pseudomonadota; Alphaproteobacteria; Caulobacterales; Caulobacteraceae. The record is from RNAcentral.